RNAcentral lists this transfer RNA (76 nucleotides) under Firmicutes bacterium ZCTH02-B6. RNAcentral describes it as "tRNA-Arg". It matches the Rfam family "tRNA". Rfam says of the family: Transfer RNA (tRNA) molecules are approximately 80 nucleotides in length. Their secondary structure includes four short double-helical elements and three loops (D, anti-codon, and T loops). Further hydrogen bonds mediate the characteristic L-shaped molecular structure. tRNAs have two regions of fundamental functional importance: the anti-codon, which is responsible for specific mRNA codon recognition, and the 3' end, to which the tRNAs corresponding amino acid is attached (by aminoacyl-tRNA synthetases). tRNAs cope with the degeneracy of the genetic code in two manners: having more than one tRNA (with a specific anti-codon) for a particular amino acid; and 'wobble' base-pairing, i.e. permitting non-standard base-pairing at the 3rd anti-codon position. The record is from RNAcentral. RNAcentral also lists the same sequence under 1 other name. Lineage: Bacteria; Bacillati; Bacillota.
GCGCCCGUAGCUCAGUGGACAGAGUAACGGACUACGAAUCCGGAGGUCGGAGGUUCGAAUCCUCCCGGGCGCGCCA